This is a long non-coding RNA of Pseudopipra pipra, 403 nucleotides long. RefSeq lists it as uncharacterized. The record is from RefSeq and is a predicted model, not a curated record. The transcript has 2 exons. NCBI's taxonomy places the organism in Eukaryota, Metazoa, Chordata, Aves, Passeriformes, Pipridae.
GGGCGCCCGGCGGGUCCCUCCCGGCGCUGCGCGGGGCUCGCCGCGGCUCCUCUCCCCGGCUCGCUCGCUCUUUGAGGAAAGUCGCUUGGAUGUGCAUCACUUCAGGCUUUGAAGCAACACCGAAAAGAUCUUCAGAUACUAGUUCGGAGGAGCACCCCAGCCCCUUGCUUUGCACCCUCAUUUAGGGUAAAUACCAUGAAUACGGUAUAUAAUUUAUAAGCAUAUCUUUUAAUAGUGCCCCAAUCACCGCAGAUUGUAUGCAACACAUAUGCUGCAACUCUGUAAUGUGAGAUCUGCUGGUGGUAUAUGAUACUUGCUUAUAAAAAUUGUCACAGCAAGGUUUCCUGAAGCUAACAUAGCUUCCCAGCCUUAAGGCAUCCAAAUACAGAGUUUUGUCAUUUAA